GUUUACACCGAUUUUUGGUAAUGUAAACAACCGCUAUCCAUAAAAACUUUGGGACCGGAUAGAAGUCCUUUUAUAGUAUUCGUUCAAGUCUCGGGAUUUACGAUGUAAUUCAUGCGUCUUUAAGAACAAAAUCAUUGUUCCUUUUAGUGUUAGAAUCGCAUCCAACACUUUUAAUAACAAGUUGUCUCAUGACAACAUGAUAGAAAAAAUACUCAAGUGAGCAUUGAAAAGAAAGAAAAAUAAAGAAGAUGAAAAUUGCAAAAGAAAAAGAAAAUAAGGCAAGAACAAAGCAAUAUAUUAAAUUGCAUUAAAUGUAAAGGGUGGUUGGAAUCCAUUCCUAUGCACUCUUUGAACCCGUUUGCUCCGUGGCGUGGGCAUUGGAGAGUUUUUAGAAAAUAGGAUUCAACCCUUUGUUCUUAUUACAAACAGAUAUAUAUAGACCUUGCAGGAAAAACUACCACUAGAUCCUACGGUCUAAGUUAAAACAAGAUAUAACUCCCUAUGCCAAAACCAUACACUUGGCAAAUUACAAUAUAUAGAAAAAUAACUUCCAAUGCUUGACGACGUGUUGCUUCAAUGCUUGACGUGUUGCUUCACGUUAAUGCUCCAAUAUUGCUUGUCCUGGUGUUGAUAAUUGCUAUUAUAUAUUAGCCUUUUUUAAUCCAAGGCCAAUCAAUAUAAUUCGACCAACAUACAUCAAAGUUGAGACCAAAUUGCAUCUUCGACUAAAAUAUAGUUGGCAUCUUCGACCAGUUUCUUCAUUUCCAAUUAAAUUGGUAGAAUCUACUCCAAUUAAAAUUCACAUAAACCAUCGAAAUGGAUAAACCAUCGAAAUGGUUUUUUUUUUCUUUUCAAAUUCUAACACUAAGACUUUCUCAAUACCAUUAAUUUUAUAAUUUUGGUGUCAACA
RNAcentral lists this long non-coding RNA (910 nucleotides) under Trifolium pratense (red clover). RNAcentral describes it as "long non-coding RNA (TPRA_LNC011702)". The record is from RNAcentral. Lineage: Eukaryota; Viridiplantae; Streptophyta; Magnoliopsida; Fabales; Fabaceae.